RNAcentral lists this long non-coding RNA (3237 nucleotides) under Dasypus novemcinctus (nine-banded armadillo). RNAcentral's name for it is "lncRNA (ENSDNOG00000050728.1)". The record is from RNAcentral. Lineage: Eukaryota; Metazoa; Chordata; Mammalia; Cingulata; Dasypodidae.
GCCUUAGACCAACUGCUUUAUUGAUUGGUCCAAAUUUGUGGCAUGUUUUUCAGAAAGACUAAUGAUGGGUUGGAGCACAGAAAUGUCAUAUUUCAAUCACGACAUGAGAAAUGGUUGGAUUGCCUGUCCUAUUAGGAGAUUCUCGACUGACAUUUUAUCGUGUUAUUGUGUCCACGCUAUUUAGUUCCUCCUGGAGCCUACUGAAUUUCACAUGCACUGCUUCAAUCAGCUCCUGCAGAGUGGAUAACUUACCUAGGGAUCCAGGCAUUACUGGACAAGCAGCCAAUCCAUGAACAGGGACAGACUGGCUUUAUUUAUAUUUAAUUUUAUUUUUAUAUUUUCUGCAUUUCAAAAUAUAGGUAUUCAAUAUAUUAUAGCAAUCCAUUGGAAAGUGAAAAACAGUUUUCUGUAGGAAAUAUAUAUCUUAAUCUAAAAUGAAAGGUUUAUGUAGAAAUGAACCUACCUGCUGGCUUUUCUUUCCUCAUCCAAUAAGGCUUACAUUGUGACUUUAGCAUUUUCCUAUCUCUAAAACCCAGUGUUUUCUACUACAUAUUUCUUUAAUGUAAACUUAUUUGUGUAGAUAGAUAUGAGAAAACAGCUUAAAAUAUUGUUCUGGGAACAUAUUUUAUAGUAGAAUAUACACUGUUAUAUGCAAAAAUUAAAAUGUACAAAAUAGAAAUUAUUCUGGGAAUCAGAAUGCUACUUUUUUUGGACAUUAUUGUAACUUUAAUGUUGAUUGGACGAGGGGUGGAACCUCAGAUUUACUAAGGAAGAACAAAAGGAAUUUAUUUAAUGAGCUUUAAACUAGUUGCAAAUUGGUAAUUUAUCCUGUACAUCAUAAAGGUACCAUUCUGCUAUCAGUUUAAAAGAAGAACUUAGUAGACUCUUAACUGAUUUUAAUAAUAUUGGAGAAUUUUAAAAACUGUUAUAAAUCAGAUGGUGUCCUAGAAUAGCAACAAAAUUUGGCUAUUUUUUCAGAUGUGUGUACUCAAGAUAAAAUUAGGUGUCAAUAUUUGCAGUUAGGUAAUAGAGGUAGGCAAUAAAGGAAAAAAAUGUUACAUUGUCCUGUUUUAUGAAAUGUUGGUAUUACUGCCAAACAUUGGCACUAUUGCCAUAAUACUGAAAGUUAUUUUUAAUGUUUUAUUUAGAGCAAUGUAUCAGAAUUUCAAUGUAAAUUUAGAAGACUCAUUUUAUAAACUGAAAGAGUAAAUAUAUACGUUUAAGUGUUGAAGUAUUAAGUUUUAGAAUUUUUUGUUUCAUUUUGAAAAUAUGUAACAACUAAAUUAAGUUUUUGAUUAUGAUGUGGUUAAUAACUAAAUACAUAUGCAUCUAAAGAUUAAGCAACUAGAAUAAAUUGGGAGUUUUAUGACUUCUGAUACUUUCAUUCAAUGUUCUGUGUGAGAAAGAUAUGAAUAUAUGUGAGGAUGAAUUGUUUUGUGUUGCUUGAGAACUUUGCUAUUUUUAAAAAUUCAUUUUUUUUUUCUGAUUACAAAAUUGUUUUUCAUCUCUCCACCUGAGUUUGAGUUGAUUUCUUUUAAGCAACAUUAGGUGAGGUAGGUAAUCAGUGGCAUUUAAUUUGUGUAAAGGAUAGUUAGAGCUUUAGACUCUUCUAGUAAAACCAGAAGUCCAUUGACAUUUUGUUUCUAUUUUGGUUUAAAUCCACAUCUAUCCUGUUUAUUCAUCUCUGUUCGACUAAUAGUGUGAAACAACUUUUCUUUGCAGAUUUUAUACAGGCUAGCAAUUUUUCUUAAUAAUAAUGAAUAUAAUAAUGAAUAAUAAUAAUGAAUAUAUUGUAUUCCUUAUCUUCACAUUAAGUAGCAAGAGACUGUAACUUCAGUAGACUAAAAAGUAUUCUGUUGGCAUAUUUUCUACCAUAUGAUGCUAUUUUUUGCAGUUUUCAUGAGAGUUAAUAUUUCUCCCCUACGAAGAAAAAAAGUUAUGUAAUAGAUUAAAAUCAAAUUGUGUAAGUCCUACUUGAAUAUCAUGGUAAUUCAGGAGUGAAACUGUUUUAUUAUCAUUCUGAUAAGAAGUAGCAACAUUGUUUUUGGUGAGAGGAACUUACUUUUAGAGUUCAGCCAGACAGUUGGGUUAUAAGCUGUUUUAUAAAUAGAGCAUAUAAUACUACCAAGGAAGCCUGGAUUUUAAAAAAUAUACUGAUUCUGAUUUAGCUGAACUUAAAAGUUUUUGCAUUCAUCUAUAAAACUAUCUUUCUAGUGAAUAGAAAUACACUUCAGAAAGUAAGAAUCUGACGCAUAAGUUAAGUUGUUAUAAAAUGACUUAAAAUUAGUUACUUCUUAGUUAUUUUGAACACUGGGACAAUUUUUUAACGUUUAUUUCUAAGUUGCAUGACAUUUUUGUAAUACUGAAUGUAGGAAUGUUAAUUUUUAACAUUUUAGCAACAUUUAAAAAAGAAUUUUAGCAAAGUCUUCUCUAGAAUGAAUGGUCAAUCUUUAUCAGUCUUAAUUUUGGCUACUUUCUAAAAGAAUUUUAUUUUCCUCUGCACAGUAGAAACAAAAAAUAUGUUUAUGCAUUGGGUUUCCUGAUGUUUAAUUUUUAAAAUUGCCACACAGUAUUAAAAUUAUUUCAUUGUACUAAAAAUGCAUUGGGGAAUAUUUAUUUUCUUUAUAAAUGGAGAUUGAGCACCACCUGUUGGCCAAACUGAAUGUAUUUUAAUUUGUUAAUUCAAAAGUAUUUUUAUCAUUGUUGUUAAAUGAUUAUAUUCUUAACUGUCGGGUUCUUGCAUAUUAUAUAAUUCUGUCACAAUAUAGAUGUAUGUCUACAAACUGCAUCUCAUUAAAUUUACCAGAAUGACUUUAUUGUAGAUUAUAAAAUUAUCUACUGUUAUCACCUUAAGUAUUUGAUUUCUUAACCUUGCUAUAUGUUACUGAAUUGUAAGUUACUCUCUAAGAAAGUGAUUGUUCUUAAUCCUGUGUUUUAAAUAAAAUAUUGAAGGAAAUUACUUUAUAUGCUUUAUGUAGAAAUUAUCACCUUGAGGAAGAACAUUACCUGAAUAAUGCUACAUUUAAUUUUUAAGAAAAAUUUAAUACUUUUUCAUUUGUUUUUCUUCUUUAAUAGCAUUUUGAAGUAAAACAGUCUAAAUUAUUGAGUGACAAUGAAAUUUUUGUAUUAAAACUUUACUAUUGUUUAUUGAAAUUAUGUGUUUUUAUAACUGGACUUUUAUCACAUUAAACGUGUUAUUUUGUUUUAAAUAGAAUGUGUUAUUUUAAAUUCACACAA